Molecule: long non-coding RNA, 819 nt
Organism: Theobroma cacao (cacao)
Lineage: Eukaryota; Viridiplantae; Streptophyta; Magnoliopsida; Malvales; Malvaceae
Source: RefSeq, a predicted model, not a curated record
ACCUACCUUUGUUUGCUCCACAAAAACUAUUCUCUCACCUUCUUCUCUUUUAUUCACACACAGUGGAUGUGCACAAAUUCUAAGAAUUAUUUAUAAGAAUGUUACAAAAUUUUAAUUCUAAAAAAAUGUUAUUAUGUUGGCUCUUUGUCUCAAUCAACCACCCAUUUGGUAUGUUGGAGAUUCGAAGGAAGAAAAUAUGAACUUGCUAAGAAGUUAAAGAUGAUAAUCGUAAAUCACCGGUGGUUUGAAGAUUGUAUAAAAGAAGGGCAAGCGUUUGCCUGAGGCUCCUUAUAUGUUGCAAAGUGGAGAAGAAAUGGGACCUUUGUUGCUGGAGAUCCAUGAUCUUGCAAAGGGGGAUGCCUUGACUUAAAAAUGAAAAGUGUUUUCAGACAAAUCGAAUGUUCAUGAUGAUAUUAGAGAUGAAACAAUUGAUAUUGGCUAUGGAGGUUCUGGCUUAUCCGGGUGGUCCAAAUCUGCAUUGUUGGAUGUGGUAAUUACAUAAAAUUCUCUUCCCCAUUGCCUUCUCUCCCUCCCUCACUCUUGUCCUGCUUUCUCUCUCUUUAGUACACACCCCAUACAAACUCUUUGUCCAGAUAUAUAAUGCUUAUUUCAGUUAGACAACUAAAAAGAACUUUGACUGAUGAUGUAGCAUUUUUGGAUGAUUGUUUCAUUUUCAUGAAUGCAUGAUGAGCUCUUCAUUAGUGACUUGUAAACUAAUAUGAGACCAAUUUGUAGCAAGGCAGAAUCAUUGUAUGAAAUAGACCAGAUGACUUUAGUUAUGGUCAUAAACAAGUACGUCAAUCAAUGUAAUUUUUUAUA